UAACGCGUAAACAACCUGCCCUUCGGAUGGGGAUAACAGCCGGAAACGGCUGCUAAUACCGAAUACGAUCUUUUCGUGCAUGACGGAAAGAAGAAAGGAUGGCCUCUAUACAAAGCUAUCGCCGAAGGAGGGGUUUGCGUCUGAUUAGCUGGUUGGAGGGGUAACGGCCCAACAAGGCGAUGAUCAGUAGCCGGUCUGAGAGGAUGAACGGCCACAUUGGGACUGAGACACGGCCCAGACUCCUACGGGAGGCAGCAGCU
RNAcentral lists this ribosomal RNA (260 nucleotides) under uncultured Megasphaera sp. Its description in RNAcentral is "partial 16S ribosomal RNA". It matches the Rfam family "Bacterial small subunit ribosomal RNA", at positions 111 to 355 of the family's 1533-position model. Lineage: Bacteria; Bacillati; Bacillota; Negativicutes; Veillonellales; Veillonellaceae. The record is from RNAcentral.